GGUGUCUGCACCAUUCCCGUGUGCAGCAACGAUGAGGGGUGCCCCCAACAGUGCAUAGGCAGCGCAGGGGGGAAUUUAAGAACGAGAUUGGCGGAGCAUAGGAGGGAUAUCGCGCAGGGAAAGCUUAGUGCAGCUUUAGCAGGGAGGUUGUAUGAGCAACAUAUCACUGUAAAGUGGAAUGAUGCCAAAAUUGUCCGACAGGUCUUCAGCCUUAGCAUCGCGGAGGCUGUUGAGAUUGAACGAAGAGGAGCUCGGAUGCCUGUUAUUAAUGAUAAUUUGCCGCUCGACCUGACACCUGCGUGGAUUUGGGUGUUAAGAAAGGGGAUGUGGGUUCCCCGCAUAUGUGUGAUCUGUAAAUAUGGUCGAUCUUGGCAUCUGUCAAUGUUGUCUAUGUCGGUAGUGAGCUGUGUUGUGUUCGAGUGUGUGAUAUAUAAUACGUGUGGUUGUGGCUAUAAUCUUAUUUUUAAUGUUAUUUUUAUUUUAUUUUAUUUAUGUUUGUAUACCUG
This 506-nucleotide long non-coding RNA is filed under the name Androctonus crassicauda. Lineage: Eukaryota; Metazoa; Arthropoda; Arachnida; Scorpiones; Buthidae. The record is from RNAcentral.